Long non-coding RNA from Cygnus olor (mute swan), 391 nucleotides. RefSeq lists it as uncharacterized. The transcript has 3 exons. NCBI's taxonomy places the organism in Eukaryota, Metazoa, Chordata, Aves, Anseriformes, Anatidae. The record is from RefSeq and is a predicted model, not a curated record.
GUCCCUUCCAAACCAAACCAUUCUGUGAUUCUGUGAAAGCUGUAAUGGGCUUGAAAGAACACAAGAUAUUAUGAUCUCCAAGUCAGAGCUGUUCUUUCUUCUUUACUUAUGAGAAGCCAAGAUUGUCACCCUGAACAGUGUGCUUGGCUCUGCCUCCAUUAAAAGAGUGCAGAAGUGCCAAAGGGAAAAAGCUGCUUUUGAGAACACAAAUCCUGCUGGUCAGCAGUCACAGGACAAACCUUUUCUGUGAAACACAAGUGAGGCCACAAUUCACUGGUUGCUGUUCAAACAUGGUCAUUUUCGUGCACCUGACUUGAAAGUCCCCUCCUGAGGGCAGAUCCAUUGUUGGGGAGUUUAAACAGAUUGAGAUAUGCCCCAUUCUUAUAUUCCA